This 31-nucleotide non-coding RNA is filed under the name Mus musculus (house mouse). The record is from RNAcentral. RNAcentral also lists the same sequence under 1 other name. Lineage: Eukaryota; Metazoa; Chordata; Mammalia; Rodentia; Muridae.
UCACAACAACUGUGUGGAGGUAUAGGUGUCU